Sceloporus undulatus (fence lizard) is the source of this 1214-nucleotide long non-coding RNA. RefSeq lists it as uncharacterized. The record is from RefSeq and is a predicted model, not a curated record. The transcript is spliced from 3 exons. Lineage: Eukaryota; Metazoa; Chordata; Lepidosauria; Squamata; Phrynosomatidae.
AACAGCUGCCAGACAGACUUCUUGUAGUAUCAGAUCAGUGUCUGAUGAGAAGGCCUUAAACAUUCUUGAGCUAGUAUUUGGGCAUCUUACUGUUUUGCUAAUUUUUGGUCUUUCAUAAAGUAGCCUUAGAUUAGUCAUCAUGCUUAAUCCCACAGGUUUUAAAUUAAAAAAAAGUUGCAGUUUUACAUUAGCUAUAGGUAGAUGUGUUCUCACAUACACUCAGAUGCAAGUUGUUUUCAAACCAUAUCCACACUGGUCAGAGAGCAAUGCGAUUCGUUAAACCUUUAUGAUGUUUCUUUUGAAGGACUACAACCUCCCAGCCAGCCUGGGAUGUACUGCAGAACCGGUCUCAAGCAAUAGUCUUGGAUCAUCUUGAGACACACACACCACACUCCUGGUUUCAGAAUUGGGCUCUCUUCCUACUUCCACUAACCUAGGUCAUCACAUUAACAGCUCUUCUCCAGGAUCCUUUGCCAGAUGAGUCCUAUGCAUGUACUAUUUUUACAUUAGUAAUUCAGAGUGUUAAAAUGAGGCCUUCUUCAAAAGAGAAAAUCUUUAUAAAGACAAAUGGCUUACUUAGAAGACACUUUUGAAAGAAGAAAAAAAUACUUAUCACUUAAAGACAAGAGAGGAACUACUGGAAGAAGGAAUAAACUGCAACUGAACUUGAAGAAACCACAGCCAAAAAAUAUGGGCGAAUUCUCUUGUAUAUGAUAACGGCAGCAUGAAUAAUCUAUGCCAAGAACUGGAAUGAAGAAAAGAUACCAACAGCUCAAGAAUGGACCUUAAAAUUAAUGGAGUUAUCAAUUAUGGAUUGUAUCACAAAUCAACUUAAUAACAAUAUAAAAAAGAAAUAUGAAGAUGAGUGGAAGGAGGUAGCAAAGCUUUGGAAAAUAAACUAAGAUAAAAUCUAAAUCAAUGGAUCUCCUAGAGAGGAAAACCUGAAAUAUUGAACUCUGUUAAAAUUAAAAGAGAAUAACUUAUGAUGAUAACCGAAUGGAUUUAAGUAUUAAUAACCAUGGGAGGGUUCAAAAUUUGUUAAUUUAUGUUAACAUGGGAAAUAAUAGGAAAUUUGCAAGACAAUUUAUAGAAUAAGACAAAAACAAUUUAUUAGGACUGUAGUCAGGAAGUCUAUGUUAGUGACAGUGAGAAAUAAGUGAUGGAAAGAAAAUAAGAGGAUAAUUGAAGAAAGAACUAUAAAAGAAGAACUAUAU